RNAcentral lists this transfer RNA (72 nucleotides) under Promethearchaeota archaeon Loki_b32. RNAcentral's name for it is "Candidatus Lokiarchaeota archaeon Loki_b32 tRNA-Gly". It matches the Rfam family "tRNA". Rfam says of the family: Transfer RNA (tRNA) molecules are approximately 80 nucleotides in length. Their secondary structure includes four short double-helical elements and three loops (D, anti-codon, and T loops). The record is from RNAcentral. RNAcentral also lists the same sequence under 2 other names. Lineage: Archaea; Promethearchaeati; Promethearchaeota.
GCGCUCGUAGUAUAGUGGUCAGUAUGCUGGGUUCCCAACUCCGCGACCCGGGUUCAAUUCCCGGCGGGCGCA